AUGAGUUGUCUAAGCUGGAACUGUCGAGGGCUUGGGAACCCAUCGACGGUUCGAGAGCUUCGCAGUGUAGUGAAGCAGGAAGUGCCCUGUCUCCUGUUUGUUAUGGAGACAAAAAUCUCAGCAAAGAGAGUCGAAGCGUUGCAAAAUCAGUUAGGCUUUGCGGGGUGUUUUGCUGUGGAUAGCAGAGGAUUGAGUGGAGGUAUUGGUCUUUUUUGGUCGGCUGGCAUUAGAGUCGAGCUAAAAAAUUAUAGUUCUGCCCACAUUGAUGUGGAAGUGCAGAAGGUGGAAGGAAGAUCAGAAAAGUGGAGGUUCACCAGUUUCUACGGUGCACCAAAGGUGGAGGAUCGCUAUCAGAGUUGGCGUUUUCUCUGGACUUUGUUCGCGUUGCAACAUUCAGCAUGGAUGUGUGUCGGCGAUUUUAAUGAAACUCUGUAUGGUUCGGAGCAUUUCUCGUGA
Molecule: ribosomal RNA, 456 nt
Filed under: Triticum aestivum (bread wheat)
Lineage: Eukaryota; Viridiplantae; Streptophyta; Magnoliopsida; Poales; Poaceae
Description: partial small subunit ribosomal RNA
Source: RNAcentral